This 466-nucleotide ribosomal RNA is filed under the name uncultured bacterium. Its description in RNAcentral is "partial 16S ribosomal RNA". It matches the Rfam family "Bacterial small subunit ribosomal RNA", at positions 28 to 507 of the family's 1533-position model. The record is from RNAcentral.
GACGAACGCUGGCGGCGUGCUUAACACAUGCAAGUCGAACGGAAAGGCCUCUUUCGGGGGGUACUCGAGUGGCGAACGGGUGAGUAACACGUGAGUAACCUGCCCUUGACUUUGGGAUAACUUCAGGAAACUGGGGCUAAUACCGGAUAGGAGCUCCUGCUGCAUGGUGGGGGUUGGAAAGUUUCGGCGGUUGGGGAUGGACUCGCGGCUUAUCAGCUUGUUGGUGGGGUAGUGGCUUACCAAGGCUUUGACGGGUAGCCGGCCUGAGAGGGUGACCGGCCACAUUGGGACUGAGAUACGGCCCAGACUCCUACGGGAGGCAGCAGUGGGGAAUAUUGCACAAUGGGUGGAAGCCUGAUGCAGCAACGCCGCGUGCGGGAUGACGGCCUUCGGGUUGUAAACCGCUUUCGCCUGUGACGAAGCGUGAGUGACGGUAAUGGGUAAAGAAGCACCGGCUAACUACGUG